CGANUGUNAUGGGCGAAGCCUGACACAGCGACGCCGCGUGGGGGAAGAAGGCCUUCGGGUUGUAAACCCCUUUUCUUAGGGAAGAAUAAUGACGGUACCUGAGGAAUAAGCCUCGGCUAACUACGUGCCAGCAGCCGCGGUAAUACGUAGGAGGCAAGCGUUAUCCGGAUUUACUGGGCGUACAGAGAGCGUAGGCGGUCCUUCAAGUCGGAUGUGAAAUCUCCCGGCUUAACUGGGAGGGGUCAUCCGAUACUGCUGGACUUGAGGGCAGAAGAGGGAGGCGGAACUCCCGGUGUAGUGGUGAAAUGCGUAGAUAUCGGGAAGAACACCAGUGGCGCAGGCGGCCUCCUAGGAUGUACCUGACGCUGAGGCUCGAAAGCGUGGGGAGCGAACAGGAUCAGAUACCCUGGUAGUCCACGCCCUAAACUGUGGACACUAGGUACAGGGAGUAUCGACCCUUCCUGUGCCGUAGCUAACGCGUUAAGUGUCCCGCCUGGGGACUACGGUCGCAAGACUAAAACUCAAAAAAAUUGACGGA
Molecule: ribosomal RNA, 538 nt
Filed under: uncultured bacterium
Lineage: Bacteria
Description: bacterial SSU rRNA
Rfam family: Bacterial small subunit ribosomal RNA
Source: RNAcentral